UUACUUUUGAAAAUUUCACAAUUUCACUAACAAUAGGAAACAACAUGCAAGAGCAAGAGGAGAAACUAGAGAAAACCAAUUCGCGCGGAAGAGUGAAGCUUCAAUUUGUUUAGUUUUCUUCUUCCACUGAAUCCCAUAGCGAGAGGGAAGCACACGUCAGCUUCUCGCAAGCUUGGUAGGAAGAACAAACCACCGCACGCAUCCACUUCCGCGCCAAAAUCACCACAAUCUCAAUCGUUUGAUUAAAGUAUCUUACAGUAACACUCAGAAUAUUUGUUUCAGCCUCCUCCACUUCUCGCGCCUCUUCUGCAGGUAUUCCUAACUCCAAAUCCUCUCUCGCUAUUUGAAUUCAAUUCAAUUGUUUGGUGCUAAUGCUCAAUUUGCAUGUGCUGGUAAUUGACCACUGAUUAGUGAUUAGUGAUCACACUCCGUUCGAAGUAACGGAGACCUCAACAGUUAGUUAGUUACUGUAUUAUGGUUUUUCUA
Cajanus cajan (pigeon pea) is the source of this 486-nucleotide non-coding RNA. Lineage: Eukaryota; Viridiplantae; Streptophyta; Magnoliopsida; Fabales; Fabaceae. The record is from RefSeq and is a predicted model, not a curated record.